This 460-nucleotide long non-coding RNA is filed under the name Monodelphis domestica (gray short-tailed opossum). Its description in RNAcentral is "lncRNA (ENSMODG00000045553.1)". The record is from RNAcentral. Lineage: Eukaryota; Metazoa; Chordata; Mammalia; Didelphimorphia; Didelphidae.
CCAUGUUGGCUGCUCUCUAGCCUCAUCUUACCUGAUUCUCCCUCUCUAAAGAGCCUCACUUUCUCUCCCAGGUCGGGGUGGGCCGAGCUGAGUUUUUGAGAAGAGUCUUUUGGGAGUGAUUUUCAGCAGACGAAGAACACUUCAAACAAGAUUCUGCCCUGACACCAAAUUGUUCAUUAAAAUUAAACCCACAAAAGCAGCCAACUCAGACUCUGAGAGAUGAAAACCAUCACAAAACUAGAAAUUAUGGGAGUUCGGGGUCUCCUGUCUCUAAUUCCAGCUCUCUUCUGUUACAGCAUUUAAGCACUCGGUGACAAUGUGAGGAAGUGCCACUGGCUUCUCUUAAGGAUAAAGGCCUAGACGAAAGCCCCUGUGGGGGAGACACAUGCUGCUGAUGCUUUUCAGUGCCUUAAGAACAAGACCCAGGCCCAGGAAAAACUUUCCUGGCUUAGAAACUUUU